AAUGGCGUAAUGAUGGCCAGGCUGUCUCCACCCGAGACUCAGUGAAAUUGAACUCGCUGUGAAGAUGCAGUGUACCCGCGGCAAGACGGAAAGACCCCGUGAACCUUUACUAUAGCUUGACACUGAACAUUGAGCCUUGAUGUGUAGGAUAGGUGGGAGGCUUUGAAGUGUGGACGCCAGUCUGCAUGGAGCCGACCUUGAAAUACCACCCUUUAAUGUUUGAUGUUCUAACGUGGACCCGUAAUCCGGGUUGCGGACAGUGUCUGGUGGGUAGUUUGACUGGGGCGGUCUCCUCCUAAAGAGUAACGGAGGAGCACGAAGGUUGGCUAAUCCUGGUCGGACAUCAGGAGGUUAGUGCAAUGGCAUAAGCCAGCUUGACUGCGAGCGUGACGGCGCGAGCAGGUGCGAAAGCAGGUCAUAGUGAUCCGGUGGUUCUGAAUGGAAGGGCCAUCGCUCAACGGAUAAAAGGUACUCCGGGGAUAACAGGCUGAUACCGCCCAAGAGUUCAUAUCGACGGCGGUGUUUGGCACCUCGAUGUCGGCUCAUCACAUCCUGGGGCUGAAGUAGGUCCCAAGGGUAUGGCUGUUCGCCAUUUAAAGUGGUACGCGAGCUGGGUUUAGAACGUCGUGAGACAGUUCGGUCCCUAUCUGCCGUGGGCGCUGGAGAACUGAGGGGGGCUGCUCCUAGUACGAGAGGACCGGAGUGGACGCAUCACUGGUGUUCGGGUUGUCAUGCCAAUGGCACUGCCCGGUAGCUAAAUGCGGAAGAGAUAAGUGCUGAAAGCAUCUAAGCACGAAACUUGCCCCGA
Molecule: ribosomal RNA, 808 nt
Filed under: Salmonella enterica
Lineage: Bacteria; Pseudomonadati; Pseudomonadota; Gammaproteobacteria; Enterobacterales; Enterobacteriaceae
Also listed under: 1 other name
Description: partial 23S ribosomal RNA
Rfam family: Bacterial large subunit ribosomal RNA
Source: RNAcentral